GCUUUCUGGGCGCUCGUCAGGAAUUCCGCUAGUUCUGAACUAUUUACAGUUAGAAAAAGUUCACUACUAGCAGAACUCGGCCGCGCGCUCUUCACUCUU
Molecule: microRNA precursor, 99 nt
Organism: Anolis carolinensis (green anole)
Lineage: Eukaryota; Metazoa; Chordata; Lepidosauria; Squamata; Anolidae
Gene: aca-mir-726
Product: aca-mir-726
Source: Ensembl